This 120-nucleotide ribosomal RNA is filed under the name uncultured bacterium. RNAcentral describes it as "partial 16S ribosomal RNA". It matches the Rfam family "Bacterial small subunit ribosomal RNA", at positions 32 to 145 of the family's 1533-position model. The record is from RNAcentral.
AAUCAACGCUGGCGGCGCGCUUAACACAUGCAAGUCGCACGAGAAAGCAGUAGCAAUACUGUGAGUACAGUGGCGUACGGGUGAGUAACACGUGGAUUAUCUACCUUCUAGUGGGGAAUA